CACCGCGGUUAUACGAGAGACCCAAGUUGUUAGACACCGGCGUAAAGAGUGGUUAAGAUUUGUCCAAGACUAAAGCCGAACGCCCUCAGAGCUGUUAUACGCACCCGAAGGUAAGAAGCCCAACCACGAAAGUGGCUUUAUAUUAUCCGAACCCACGAAAGCUAUGACACAAACUGGGAUUAGAUACCCCACUAUGCCUAGCCAUAAACAUUGAUAGUUAACUACACCCGCUAUCCGCCCGGGGACUACGAGCACCAGCUUGAAACCCAAAGGACUUGGCGGUGCUUUAGAUCCACCUAGAGGAGCCUGUUCUAGAACCGAUUACCCCCGUUCAACCUCACCUUUCCUUGUUUUCCCCGCCUAUAUACCACCGUCGUCAGCUUACCCUAUGAAGGACUUAUAGUAAGCAAGAUUGGCAUAGCCCAAAACGUCAGGUCGAGGUGUAGCGUAUGGAAAGGGAAGAAAUGGGCUACAUUCACUAGCAUAGUGAAACACGAACGAUACACUGAAAUACGUAUCUGAAGGAGGAUUUAGCAGUAAGCAGAAAAUAGAGCGUUCCGCUGAAACUGGCCCUGAAGCGCGCACACACCGCCCGUCACUCUCCCCGAGCUUACUAACCCUAAGUACCUAAGACCCUAAAACUGCAAAGGGGAGGCAAGUCGUAA
RNAcentral lists this ribosomal RNA (665 nucleotides) under Lutjanus ehrenbergii (blackspot snapper). Its description in RNAcentral is "partial 12S ribosomal RNA". It matches the Rfam family "Bacterial small subunit ribosomal RNA", at positions 513 to 1491 of the family's 1533-position model. Lineage: Eukaryota; Metazoa; Chordata; Actinopteri; Lutjaniformes; Lutjanidae. The record is from RNAcentral.